CUAGCCUCACAUAUAUCUCCAUGUCUUUCUCCUGCCUCCUGAGUACUGGGAUUAAAAGUGUGCCCUGCCACUGUUUGAGCAGAAAUCUGUGCCCAGAGACUCCAAUAAACGUGUUGCUGAUACUGUAUGGCCAGUGCCAAACCCAGUGACCCUCAGUCAGCAUCUAGAGCUUUAGGACCGAGUCUUGUGUGUGUUGUCUUGGUGACUGAGAAGAUUUGGAGGGAAUCAGCCAGUUGGUGAAGACACUGGUGAAGACUUAGCUAUCACAUCCCAGCAGACAUUUUCUCAGUUAUACAUUCAUCCCAAAGAACUUAAGGAAGUAGCAAGAUGGUCCAGCUGUCAGAUGGCCUUCAGAGCCUCAGUGUAGUGAGGUUCCAGGCCCAACUGAAAGCACUGUUCGUGGAAAGCCCGCAACGGAAGAAGAAUUCCUGCAUCUUGUAGAACAGGACGGCAAGUACUUCUCAAGUGAGCUGGUGUGCUUGAUACCAUUCAAUCAAAAUGGCAACAGCUUUAAAGAGAAUUUCCCUUUUGGACUGGUGGUUCACUCUUUUGGAAGAACAGGUGAUAGCAGUCAAGACCUGUUCAAAUCUAAGAUUACUCAAACAGCACAAAACUGGAAGAAAGAGAGCAGAAACUGCAGAAAGCACAGACACACACGGGUUGGUUUUCGCCUCGAGUGCUGUUGAAGUUGUGGGUGUUUGUAGUAGAGAUGCGUCACUGGAGCCCAGAGACUGCCUCUGUUAACAGAGAAGCACUCAUCUUCUGUCCUGUCAUUUUGUACUCAGCUGUCUAGCAAACUUCCCAUUGAUAAUUCUAUAGCUGGUCCCCUCAGGUCUGCCAGGAGACGUCUGUAUGAUGUGCUUUAUAGCCUUUAAAGGUGUGGCAAGAAAGCCUCCGGAGCAUCUCACCGUAAGCCAGGCAAGUACUACUGUUCCAGCUUUAUACUAAGUAACCUGCCUUUCUGCUAGGGUUCUCCCCUUCCCUCCGUCUCCGCUCCGUGUAGCUUCGGAGUGUAACCUGUCACGGUUGCAUAUGGCUUGCAAGUGGUAUUGCCAUAAUGGUUGCCACUGGCUGGUCAGUGAGUAAAUCUUGAAGCAACCGGCUCAGAAAUCCCAGUCCCUCCCCUUCAAUCCUCACCACAGUGACUGUAUGGGUGCUGGAUAAGGCUCUGAAAACCAGCAUAGGAGUAAACAAAUGAAGUCCUUGAUGUUUUCCAAACAGUUCUUUCCCCUUUUUCUUCUUGUGAUGGGGAAAGGCUCAGAGAAGUCAAGUCAGCUUUUUCUUUUAAUUUUUAAUUGAUUCUUUGUAAUUUUCACAUUAUGCACCCCCAAUACCACUUAUCUCUCCAUCCCUCCAUAUCUGCUUUCUGCCCUUGCAACCUCCCCACAAAAGAAAACAGAGCAAACAAAAUAAAAGGAACAAAAAGGAGAACAAAAGUUAAAAACCAAUCUCACUAUGGGAGCUGCAGUGGGUCACACAAUCUCUCACAGUACAUCCUUUUGCUCAACAGCUUUACUUGCAAAUGUUCAUUGCAAUGAGUCUGGCUAAGGCCUCUGGCUUCUGCCACACCAUCAGUGGAUCUUCAAUAGAGCUCCUCUUGGAUAUCCCGUUGUUGUUGCCCACACUGACACACCUGGAGACCCUGCAGCUUUGGUUCUGCAGGACUGGCCCCUUCAUGUGUUCCAAUAGUCCAUAAAUGAGGCAGUCAGAGAACCAUGAUGCCCUUCAACACUCUGAAGAUGCUUUCCAGUAAACAACCAACUCAUUACCAUUCAAGUCCUUCCUCCCACAGGAUGCUAAGAAUGCAUGUAUAACUAGUCAGGCCUGUACCACGCUGUCAUACUGAUGUCAUAAUGGUGGCUUCUUAUCCUUUGUUUAAUAGUGUUUUGCUCACUUCUUCAUGAGAGAUCUUAAGAAUGGGCUUCGGCAUCCAUUCAACCAGCACUCUAUAGAGGAGGAUGAGCCUGUUUUCAAGGGAGAUCAAAGCCUUCUCCAUAGCUCUCCUCACUCAAUGGCCCAGUCCUCCCCAGAAUCCCCUCCUGCCAGCCCCUUCAAGGGCAGCUCUCUGUCAAUCUCAAACUCUUCCCUCCACUGUCACCGCAUCCUAGAAUCAGGUCUGCAUUUUGAGAUAUUUGUUUCUACAGGAUCCUUUUUUUUUUUUUUGCAACCAGUUUGUUUUAUUCUGCUGUCAGAAGAAUAAAAGAGUUGUUUAAACA
Molecule: small RNA, 2216 nt
Filed under: Rattus norvegicus (Norway rat)
Lineage: Eukaryota; Metazoa; Chordata; Mammalia; Rodentia; Muridae
Description: uncharacterized LOC102554078
Source: RNAcentral